AAUAUUGGACAAUGGGGGCAACCCUGAUCCAGCCACGCCGCGUGUGUGAAGAAGGUCUUCGGAUUGUAAAGCACUUUAAGUUGGGAGGAAGGGCUUUAGUUUAUUACUCGGAAGUUUUGACGUUACUAACAGAAUAAGCACCGGCUAACUCGGUGCCAGCAGCCGCGGUAAUACAGAAGGUGCAAGCGUUAAUCGGAAUUACUGGGCGUAAAGCGCGCGUAGGUGGUUCAGUAAGCUGGGUGUGAAAUCCCCGGGCUUAACCUGGGAACUGCUUUCAUAACUGCUGAGCUAGAGUGCGGUAGAGGGUAGCGGAAUUUCCUGUGUAGCGGUGAAAUGCGUAGAUAUAGGAAGGAACACCAGUGGCGAAGGCGACUACCUGGACUGAUACUGACACUGAGGUGCGAAAGCGUGGGGAGCAAAC
RNAcentral lists this ribosomal RNA (421 nucleotides) under uncultured bacterium. RNAcentral's name for it is "partial 16S ribosomal RNA". It matches the Rfam family "Bacterial small subunit ribosomal RNA", at positions 360 to 773 of the family's 1533-position model. The record is from RNAcentral.